AACGCACAUUGCGCUCUCCGGUACUCCGGUGAGCAUGCCCGUUUCAGAAUCAGUAACAAAUUCUCGCCAAACUCGAGUGGUUCCGAGAGGGACGCUCGGAUGAGGCGGACUUUGGACGUGCUGUCUCCUUGGAGACUCGUCCCAAACUGAUUUGGAAGUGCGGAGGCCCCGUCGACUCUUUUGGAGACGGACCUUGCAAAGCAGCAACAAAGACAUUUUGUGUGCCUUCAAACUCUUUGCUCGGUCGUAGGUGCCUCUCGCAAUCGCUUCCUCCACCGCCAGCUGGUUCAUUCCGGUAGGCAACUGAAGGACGCCUCCGUGGAGGAGUCCCUCAAAAACUUGGUCUGAAAUCGGGCAAGAAAACCCGCUGAACUUAA
RNAcentral lists this unclassified non-coding RNA (377 nucleotides) under uncultured soil eukaryote. RNAcentral describes it as "sequence contains 5.8S rRNA gene, ITS2, 28S rRNA gene". The record is from RNAcentral.